UCGAGAGGGAGGCCAGCGGGCACUACGCAGCAGCCACAUCAGACUGGGACAAUUCCUGCUUGCAGAGGACUGUAAAACCCCUACCCCGUCCUCACUUGGGGCUGACGCUAUUGCCAAGCAAAUUGAGACCAUCAAGCUACAGAUGGUCUUACAAAUGGAACUCCAAAUGAGCUCAACUAAACUUCUACCGAGGACCCCUGGACCAACCUCCUGGCCCUUUCACUGGCCUAAAGAGUUCCCCUCUGGAGGACACUACAACUGCAGGGCCCCUUCUUCGCCCCUAUCCAGCAGGAAGUAGCUACAGCAGUCAUUGGCCAAAUUCCCAUCAGCAGUUGGGGUGUCCUGUUUAGAGGGGGCGGGAUUGAGAGGUGAAGCCGGCUGUGCUUCUGGGUCGGGUGGGGACUUGGAGAACUACUCUGUCUAAAGGAUUGUAAAUGCACCAAUCAGGGCUCUGUGUCUAGCUAAAGGUUUGUAAACACACCAAUCAGUGCUCUGUGUCUAGCUAAUCGGGUAGGGGACUUGGAGAACUUUUCAGUCUAGCUAAAGGAUUAUAAAUGCACCAAUCAGUGCUCUGUGUCUAGCUAACUGGGUAGGGGACUUGGAGAACUUUUCUGUCUAGCUAAAGGAUUGUAAAUGCACCAAUCAGCACUCUGUGUCUAGCUAAAGGUUUGUAAACACACCAAUCAGCACUCUGUAAAAACCGACCAAUUAGCACUCUGUAAAACAGAGCAAUCAACACUCUGUAAAAUGGACUAAUCAGCUGUCUGUAAAAUGGACCAAUCAGCAGGAUGUGGGUGGGGCCAAAUAAGGGAAUAAAAGCACGCCACCGGAGCCAGCAGCUGCAACCUGCUCGGGUCCCCUUCCAUGCUGUGGAAGCUUUGCUCUUUCAUUCUUCGCAAUAAAUCUUGCUGCUGCUCACUCUUUGGGUCUGCACUACCUUUAUGAGCUGUAACACUGACUGUGAAGGUCUGCGGCUUCACUCCUGAAGUCAGUGAGACCACAAACCUACUGGGAGGAACAAACAACUCUGGACACGCCACCUUUAAGAGCUGUAACACUCACUGCGAGGGUCUGCAGCUUGACUCCUGAAGUUAGUGAGCCCAUGAACCCACUGGGAGGAAAAAACAACUCCAGACGUCCCACCUUUAAGAGCUGUAACACUCACUGCAAAGGUCUGCGGCUUCAUCCCUAAAGUCAGCAAGACCACGAACCCACCAGAAGGAAGAAACUCUGGACACAUCUGAACAUCAGAAGGAACAAACUCUCAACAUACCAUCUUUAAGAACUGUAACACUCACCGCGACAGUCCGUGGCUUCAUUCUUGAAGUCAGCGAGACCAAGAACCCACUGGAAGAAACCAAUUCCGGACACAUUUACGCAGCAGCCACGUCAGACUGGGACACUUCCUGCUUACAGAGGACUAUAAAACCCCUUCCUCACUUGGGGCUGAUGCUAUUAUAAAACCCAUCCCUCACUUGGGGCUGAUGCUAUUAUAAAACCCAUCCCUCACUUGGGGCUGACGCCAUUUAGGCGUAAACCCGUCUGCACCCAGGCGCUUAUUAAAACAGUGUGUUGCUCCACACCACCUCAUGUCGUGGGGGUUGUUGGCGCGUCAUCGGGGUUCAAACCAAUACCAGAGCCUUGCAGGUUGUUUGUAGCACUAACAAAGGACAAAUGCUUGAGAGGAUGGAUACCCUGCUUAUCCUGAUGUGAUUAUGCAUUCUAUGCCAUAUCAAAUAUCUCAUGUACCUAUAAAUACAUAUGCCUACUAUGUACCCACAAAAAUUAAAAAUAAAUUUUUUUGAGAUGGAGUCUCGCUCUGUCACCCAGUCUGGAGUGCAGUGGCGUGAUCUUGGCUCA
Pongo pygmaeus (Bornean orangutan) is the source of this 1860-nucleotide long non-coding RNA. RefSeq lists it as uncharacterized. The transcript has 2 exons. The record is from RefSeq and is a predicted model, not a curated record. Lineage: Eukaryota; Metazoa; Chordata; Mammalia; Primates; Hominidae.